This 408-nucleotide ribosomal RNA is filed under the name uncultured bacterium. RNAcentral's name for it is "partial 16S ribosomal RNA". It matches the Rfam family "Bacterial small subunit ribosomal RNA", at positions 28 to 526 of the family's 1533-position model. The record is from RNAcentral.
GAUGAACGCUGGCGGCGUGCUUAACACAUGCAAGUCGAACGGAGUGGCGAACGGGUGAGUAACACGUGGGUGACCUGCCCUGCACUUCGGGAUAAGCACGGGAAACUGGGUCUAAUACUGGAUAGUGUGGGAUGGGCCCGCGGCCUAUCAGCUUGUUGGUGGGGUAAUGGCCUACCAAGGCGGCGAAGGGUAGCCGGCCUGGGAUGGUGGACGGCCACAAUGGGACUGAGACACGGCCCAGACUCCUACGGGGGGCAGCAGUGGGGAGUAUUGCACAGUGGGCGGAAGCCUGAGGCAGCGACGCCGGGUGGGGGAUGACGGCCUUCGGGUUGUAAACGCCUUUCACCAUCGACGCGGUAGAUGGAGAAGAAGCACCGGCUAACUACGUGCCAGCAGCCGCGGUAAUAC